UACGGAGGGUGCAAGCGUUGUCCGGAAUCACUGGGCGUAAAGGGCGCGUAGGCGGCUCAUGGAAGGCUGUGGUGAAAGUCCGGGGCUCAACCUCGGAAUCGGCCGUGGCGACUCGUGGGCUGGAGCACUGUAGAGGCGGGUGGAAUUCCGGGUGUAGCGGAUGGAAUGCGUAGAGGAAUCCGGAAGAACACCAGUGGCGAAGGCGGCCCGCUGGGCAGUGGCUGACGCUGAGGCGACGACGAGCGUGGGGAGGCAAACAGG
RNAcentral lists this ribosomal RNA (261 nucleotides) under uncultured bacterium. RNAcentral's name for it is "partial 16S ribosomal RNA". It matches the Rfam family "Bacterial small subunit ribosomal RNA", at positions 524 to 776 of the family's 1533-position model. The record is from RNAcentral.